CAGCUCGAGUUUCUCUUCAUUGUCGCAUAAAUCUUUCGCCUUUUACUAAAGAUUUCCGUGGAGGGGAACUUUUGCGAGUGAUCUGUA
Small nuclear RNA from Cyprinus carpio (common carp), 87 nucleotides. Its record names the gene U5. It matches the Rfam family "U5 spliceosomal RNA". From Rfam's summary of the family: U5 RNA is a component of both types of known spliceosome. The precise function of this molecule is unknown, though it is known that the 5' loop is required for splice site selection and p220 binding, and that both the 3' stem-loop and the Sm site are important for Sm protein binding and cap methylation. NCBI's taxonomy places the organism in Eukaryota, Metazoa, Chordata, Actinopteri, Cypriniformes, Cyprinidae. The record is from Ensembl.